UUUAAUGAGAGUUUGAUCCUGGCUCAGGACGAACGCUGGCGGCGUGCCUAAUACAUGCAAGUAGAACGCUGAAGGAGGAGCUUGCUUCUCUGGAUGAGUUGCGAACGGGUGAGUAACGCGUAGGUAACCUGCCUGGUAGCGGGGGAUAACUAUUGGAAACGAUAGCUAAUACCGCAUAAAAUUGAUUAUUGCAUGAUAAUUGAUUGAAAGAUGCAAUUGCAUCACUACCAGAU
Molecule: ribosomal RNA, 233 nt
Filed under: Actinomyces bouchesdurhonensis
Lineage: Bacteria; Bacillati; Actinomycetota; Actinomycetes; Actinomycetales; Actinomycetaceae
Description: partial 16S ribosomal RNA
Rfam family: Bacterial small subunit ribosomal RNA
Source: RNAcentral